AACGAACGCUGGCGGCAGGCCUAACACAUGCAAGUCGAGCGAGGACUUCGGUCCUAGCGGCGGACGGGUGAGUAACGCGUGGGAACGUGCCCUUUGCUUCGGAAUAGCCCUGGGAAACUGGGAGUAAUACCGGAUGAGCCCUUUGGGGGAAAGAUUUAUCGGCGAAGGAUCGGCCCGCGUUGGAUUAGGUAGUUGGUGGGGUAAUGGCCUACCAAGCCGACGAUCCAUAGCUGGUUUGAGAGGAUGAGCAGCCACACUGGGGCUGAGACACGGCCCAGACUCCUACGGGAGGCAGCAGUGGGGAAUCUUAGACAAUGGGGGAAACCCUGAUCUAGCCAUGCCGCGUGAGCGAUGAAGGCCUUAGGGUUGUAAAGCUCUUUCAGCUGGGAAGAUAAUGACGGUACCAGCAGAAGAAGCCCCGGCUAACUCCGUG
Molecule: ribosomal RNA, 433 nt
Filed under: uncultured bacterium
Lineage: Bacteria
Description: partial 16S ribosomal RNA
Rfam family: Bacterial small subunit ribosomal RNA
Source: RNAcentral